AGCGAACGCUGGCGGCAGGCCUAACACAUGCAAGUCGAACGAACCUUUCGGGGUUAGUGGCGGACGGGUGAGUAACACGUGGGAACGUGCCUUUAGGUUCGGUAUAACUCAGGGAAACUUGUGCUAAUACCGAAUGUGCCCUUCGGGGGAAAGAUUUAUCGCCUUUAGAGCGGCCCGCGUCUGAUUAGCUAGUUGGUUGAGGUAAUGGCUCACCAAGGCGACGAUCAGUAGCUGGUCUGAGAGGAUGAUCAGCCACAUUGGGACUGAGACACGGCCCAAACUCCUACGGGAAGCAGCAGUGGGGAAUCUUGCGCAAUGGGCGAAAGCCUGACGCAGCCAUGCCGCGUGAAUGAUGAAGGUCUUAGGAUUGUAAAAUUCUUUCACCGGGGACGAUAAUGACGGUACCCGGAGAAGAAGCCCCGGCUAACUUCGUG
Molecule: ribosomal RNA, 434 nt
Filed under: uncultured bacterium
Lineage: Bacteria
Description: partial 16S ribosomal RNA
Rfam family: Bacterial small subunit ribosomal RNA
Source: RNAcentral